This 301-nucleotide ribosomal RNA is filed under the name uncultured bacterium. RNAcentral's name for it is "partial 16S ribosomal RNA". It matches the Rfam family "Bacterial small subunit ribosomal RNA", at positions 509 to 807 of the family's 1533-position model. The record is from RNAcentral.
CAGCCGCCGCGGUAAUACGUAGGGAGCAAGCGUUGUUCGGAUUUACUGGGCGUAAAGGGCGCGUAGGCGGCGCGGUAAGUCACUUGUGAAAUCUCUGAGCUUAACUCAGAACGGCCAAGUGAUACUGCUGUGCUAGAGUGCGGAAGAGGCAACCGGAAUUCUUGGUGUAGCGGUGAAAUGCGUAGAUAUCAAGAGGAACACCUGAGGCGAAGGCGGGCUGCUGGGCCGACACUGACGCUGAUGCGCGAAAGCCAGGGGAGCAAACGGGAUUAGAUACCCCGGUAGUCCCUGUCUCUUAUAC